RNAcentral lists this ribosomal RNA (460 nucleotides) under uncultured bacterium. Its description in RNAcentral is "partial 16S ribosomal RNA". It matches the Rfam family "Bacterial small subunit ribosomal RNA", at positions 338 to 795 of the family's 1533-position model. The record is from RNAcentral.
CCUACGGGUGGCAGCAGUGAGGAAUAUUGGUCAAUGGGCGCGAGCCUGAACCAGCCAAGUAGCGUGAAGGAUGACUGCCCUACGGGUUGUAAACUUCAUUUGUAAAGGAAUAAAGUGAGGCACGUGUGUCUUUAUGUAUGUACUUUAUGAUUAAGGAUGGGAUAAAUCCGUGCCAGCAGCCGCGGUAAUACGGAGGAUCCGAGCGUUAUCCGGAUGUAUUGGGUUUAAAGGGAGCGUAGAUGGGUUGGUAAGUCAGUUGUGAAAGCUGGCGGCUCAACCGUAGAAUUGCAGUUGAUACUGGCAGCCUUGAGUGCAGUAGAGGUAGGCGGAAUUCGUGGUGUAGCGGUGAAAUGCUUAGAUAUCACGAAGAACUCCGAUUGCGAAGGCAGCUUACUAGACUGCAAAUGACACUGAGGCUCGAAAGUGUGGGUAUCAAACAGGAUUAGAUACCCUAGUAGUC